GAAGGAAGCAUGGGCUGGACAGGCUGGACGUGAACUCUGACUGUUUUGAAGGUCUUGGACGCCCCGCCCGAGUUUGCGCAUGCGCCUAAGCAAAGAUGAGGAAACUGAGGCUCAGAGACGGAAAGUGAGUGGCUCAAGAUAAC
Long non-coding RNA from Lemur catta (Ring-tailed lemur), 143 nucleotides. RefSeq lists it as uncharacterized. NCBI's taxonomy places the organism in Eukaryota, Metazoa, Chordata, Mammalia, Primates, Lemuridae. The record is from RefSeq and is a predicted model, not a curated record. The transcript is spliced from 3 exons.